CUCUGAAAGUUCUGUGAUGUAUCAUUGCCAUGGUAAUGCAGUAAUGUGCAUUCUGUAUUCUGUACCAAGUGCCAAUUUGUGAGCUGAGAGGUUCAGAUACGGUGGCAACUGAGAAGGAUUCACCUACAACCUUGAGAAUUUGAAAAUGGGCAAUCUGAACUGCUGCUCUGGAGGAUACUUGGCCCAAAAGGCCAGAAGAAACGUCCAUCAGGGGUCAAGACCAUCAAACUCCAGCUGGGUGAAGAGGGUUCGUAGUUGGUCACAAAAUAAGAUGCACCCCAUAACUGACCCAGUUGAAGUUUCCCAGGAGGACCUGGUGGAGGAGCCCCCCCAAGGCCGGAAUGAGGAACAGAAACUGAGUACCCUGAAGGUAUGGUCACCUCUCUUUAUCUGGGAUAAGACCUUUGCUUCACUUCUUUCUUUUUUAUUCAGUCGAAUACAAUUAGAGUCAUCUAACAAUGUACAGUAUCACUGAUAUGUGAAAUUUACUUGGUUGGGGGAAUAAUGAGGGUAAAUCUAUUAUCAACACAUACCUGAUUCAUAAGGACAUUUUAAAAAGACAGCAUCUGUUGCUACUGUAUAAUAGUAGGUACUUUCCUCAGCAGAAGUUUUUCCUCCUUGAAAAAGAAUUUUGUAAUUGUUGGUCAAAGUGAAACUGAGAGAUCUUACGUGAAAUAGGCCAGCCUUUUCAACAACGGGUCCUCUCUGUCUUCUUUUGGAGCCAUUGACUUAAGGAGUUUUAGUUUUUGGAGGACGAAAAUCAGAGAACAGAAGACAAUGCAGAGAACAAAAGACGCUGACACCCUCACAUUGUUUGCUUCUCUCUCUAAUCAUAGGUGCAUGGAACGGCCAAAGAGAUUGCUUCACAUACAAAUAUCUACAUCCCUCUGCUCAGAUAUGUUCAAAAUGAUGAAGGUGGGGCUCUUUGCUGCCUCUAGUUAGAGAGCAGCUCUGAAUUUGGGUUUCCACAGCUGGUGAGGUCUGGGGGUACAUUCUGAAUGUGAUUCAGUCUUUAAUAAUGAAGCCAAUCAUGUCACUUGAAAUAAUUAGUGAAGCGGGUGGAUAUUGGUAAGACUGAAAUUAGCCAGUCACAGGAA
RNAcentral lists this long non-coding RNA (1097 nucleotides) under Capra hircus (goat). RNAcentral's name for it is "lncRNA (ENSCHIG00000000829.1)". Lineage: Eukaryota; Metazoa; Chordata; Mammalia; Artiodactyla; Bovidae. The record is from RNAcentral.